Molecule: transfer RNA, 66 nt
Filed under: Systolederus spicupennis
Lineage: Eukaryota; Metazoa; Arthropoda; Insecta; Orthoptera; Tetrigidae
Description: tRNA-Glu
Source: RNAcentral
AUUUAUGUAGUUUAAAAAAAACAAUACAUUUUCACUGUAUAAAUAAUAUAUUUGUAUUCUUAAAUA